Molecule: ribosomal RNA, 253 nt
Filed under: uncultured bacterium
Lineage: Bacteria
Description: partial 16S ribosomal RNA
Rfam family: Bacterial small subunit ribosomal RNA
Source: RNAcentral
UACGAAGGGGGCUAGCGUUGUUCGGAAUCACUGGGCGUAAAGGGCGCGUAGGCGGCUUUAUAAGUCGGGGGUGAAAGCCUGUGGCUCAACCACAGAAUUGCCUUCGAUACUGUAGAGCUUGAGACCGGAAGAGGUAAGUGGAACUGCGAGUGUAGAGGUGAAAUUCGUAGAUAUUCGCAAGAACACCCGUGGCGAAGGCGGCCAACUGGGCCGGACCUGACGCUGAGGCGCGAAGGCGUGGGGAGCGAACGGG